This 708-nucleotide ribosomal RNA is filed under the name Cyanobacterium sp. PNNL-SSL1. RNAcentral describes it as "partial 23S ribosomal RNA". Lineage: Bacteria; Bacillati; Cyanobacteriota; Cyanophyceae; Chroococcales; Geminocystaceae. The record is from RNAcentral.
AACUCAGAAUACCCAUGRUUGUAGCACUAGUAAGACGGUGGGGGAUAAGCUUCAUCGUCGAAAGGGAAACAGCCCAGACCAUCAGCUAAGGUCCCCAAGUAAAGACUAAGUGAUAAAGGAGGUGGGAGUGCGAAGACAACCAGGAGGUUUGCCUAGAAGCAGCCAUCCUUGAAAGAGUGCGUAAUAGCUCACUGGUCAAGCGCUCCUGCGCCGAAAAUGAACGGGGCUAAGUCUUUCACCGAAGCUAUGGACUCAUAUUUUGAGUGGUAGGGGAGCGUUCUCUAUUGGGAGAAGCAUUAGCGGCAAGCAGAUGUGGACGAUAGAGAAGUGAGAAUGUCGGCUUAAGUAGCGAAAAUUGAAGUGAGAAUCUUCAACCCCGAAAGCAUAAGGGUUUCUCCAGAAGGUUCGUCCGUGGAGAGUUAGCCCGGACCUAAGGCGAAGCGAAUAGCGUAGUCGAUGGCAAGCAGGUAAAUAUUCCUGCGUGGUUUUACAGGAGCUAUUAAAGGGACCCAUGAAAGAUAAACUCGUCCUAAGUGGAUUGGAAGCAACUUCGGUUGUGUGAGUGUAAGGAUAGUGGCAAGAAAAGCUUUAAUAGUGUUGAAUGUAGAAUCCCGGUACCCGAAACCGACACAGGUAUGCAAGUAGAGAAUACUAAGGGGAGCGAGUUAACUCUCUCUAAGGAACUCGGCAAAAUGACCCCGUAACUUC